Molecule: ribosomal RNA, 253 nt
Filed under: uncultured bacterium
Lineage: Bacteria
Description: partial 16S ribosomal RNA
Rfam family: Bacterial small subunit ribosomal RNA
Source: RNAcentral
GACGAACCGAGCGAACGUUGUUCGGAAUCACUGGGCUUAAAGGGCGCGUAGGCGGGCCAUCAAGUCAGGGGUGAAAGCCCCCGGCUCAACCGGGGAAGUGCCUCUGAUACUGGUGGUCUCGAGGGAGAUAGGGGCGUGCGGAACUUCCGGUGGAGCGGUGAAAUGCGUAGAUAUCGGAAGGAACACCGGUGGCGAAAGCGGCGCGCUGGAUCUCUUCUGACGCUGAGGCGCGAAAGCCAGGGGAGCAAACGGG